This 410-nucleotide ribosomal RNA is filed under the name uncultured bacterium. RNAcentral describes it as "bacterial SSU rRNA". It matches the Rfam family "Bacterial small subunit ribosomal RNA", at positions 370 to 772 of the family's 1533-position model. The record is from RNAcentral.
AAUGGGCGCAAGCCUGAUCCAGCAAUGCCGCGUGCAGGAAGAAGGCCUUCGGGUUGUAAACUGCUUUUGUACGGAACGAAAAAGUCCGGGUUAAUACCCUGGGCCCAUGACGGUACCGUAAGAAUAAGCACCGGCUAACUACGUGCCAGCAGCCGCGGUAAUACGUAGGGUGCAAGCGUUAAUCGGAAUUACUGGGCGUAAAGCGUGCGCAGGCGGUUGUGUAAGACAGGCGUGAAAUCCCCGGGCUCAACCUGGGAAUGGCGCUUGUGACUGCACAGCUCGAGUGCGGCAGAGGGGGAUGGAAUUCCGCGUGUAGCAGUGAAAUGCGUAGAUAUGCGGAGGAACACCAAUGGCGAAGGCAAUCCCCUGGGCCUGCACUGACGCUCAUGCACGAAAGCGUGGGGAGCAAA